This 449-nucleotide ribosomal RNA is filed under the name uncultured bacterium. RNAcentral's name for it is "partial 16S ribosomal RNA". It matches the Rfam family "Bacterial small subunit ribosomal RNA", at positions 29 to 523 of the family's 1533-position model. The record is from RNAcentral.
AAUGAACGCUGGCAGCAUGCCUAACACAUGCAAGUCGAACGAAGGCUUCGGCCUUAGUGGCGCACGGGUGCGUAACGCGUGGGAAUCUGCCCUCAGGUUCGGAAUAACAGCGAGAAAUUGCUGCUAAUACCGGAUGAUAUCGCGAGAUCAAAGAUUUAUCGCCUGAGGAUGAGCCCGCGUAGGAUUAGCUAGGUGGUGUGGGAAAGGCGCACCAAGGCGACGAUCCUUAGCUGGUCUGAGAGGAUGAUCAGCCACACUGGGACUGAGACACGGCGCAGACUCCUACGGGAGGCAGCAGUGGGGAAUAUUAGACAAUGGGCGAAAGCCUGAUCCAGCAAUGCCGCGUGAGGGAUGAAGGCCUUAGGGUUGUAAAGCUCUUUUACCCGGGAUGAUAAUGACAGUACCGGGAGAAUAAGCUCCGGCUAACUCCGUGCCAGCCGCCGCGGUAA